RNAcentral lists this ribosomal RNA (352 nucleotides) under uncultured bacterium. Its description in RNAcentral is "bacterial SSU rRNA". It matches the Rfam family "Bacterial small subunit ribosomal RNA", at positions 527 to 881 of the family's 1533-position model. The record is from RNAcentral.
GUAGGGGGCGAGCGUUAUCCGGAUUUAUUGGGUUUAAAGGGAGCGUAGGCGGAUUGUUAAGUCAGUUGUGAAAGUUUGCGGCUCAACCGUAAAAUUGCAGUUGAUACUGGCAGUCUUGAGUGCAGUAGAGGUGGGCGGAAUUCGUGGUGUAGCGGUGAAAUGCUUAGAUAUCACGAAGAACUCCGAUUGCGAAGGCAGCUCACUGGAGUGUAACUGACGCUGAUGCUCGAAAGUGUGGGUAUCAAACAGGAUUAGAUACCCUGGUAGUCCACACAGUAAACGAUGAAUACUCGCUGUUUGCGAUAUACAGUAAGCGGCCAAGCGAAAGCAUUAAGUAUUCCACCUGGGGAGU